This 75-nucleotide transfer RNA is filed under the name Posidoniimonas polymericola. RNAcentral describes it as "Planctomycetes bacterium Pla123a tRNA-Ala". Lineage: Bacteria; Pseudomonadati; Planctomycetota; Planctomycetia; Pirellulales; Lacipirellulaceae. The record is from RNAcentral.
CCACGGUGGUUGGCACGGGAGAGGACGGCGUGCUGGCGGCGCGCCACGCGCCGUUCGACAUCGCGUUUGUCGACC